RNAcentral lists this ribosomal RNA (665 nucleotides) under uncultured bacterium. Its description in RNAcentral is "bacterial SSU rRNA". It matches the Rfam family "Bacterial small subunit ribosomal RNA", at positions 239 to 900 of the family's 1533-position model. The record is from RNAcentral.
CAUUAGCUAGUCGGUGAGGUAACGGCUCACCGAGGCGACGAUGUCUAGGGGUUCUGAGAGGAAGGUCCCCCACACUGGUACUGAGACACGGUCCAAACUCAUACGGGAGGCAGCAGUGAGGAAUAUUGGUCAAUGGCCGGAAGGCUGAACCAGCCAAGUCGCGUGAGGGAAUAAGGCCCUACGGGUCGUAAACCUCUUUUGUCAGGGAGCAAGGCCGCCCACGUGUGGACGGAAGGAGAGUACCUGGAGAAAAAGCAUCGGCUAACUCCGUGCCAGCAGCCGCGGUAAUACGGAGGAUGCGAGCGUUAUCCGGAUUUAUUGGGUUUAAAGGGUGCGUAGGCGGCCUGCCAAGUCAGCGGUAAAAUUGCGGGGCUCAACCCCGUACAGCCGUUGAAACUGCCGGGCUCGAGUGGGCGAGAAGUAUGCGGAAUGCGUGGUGUAGCGGUGAAAUGCAUAGAUAUCACGCAGAACCCCGAUUGCGAAGGCAGCAUACCGGCGCCCUACUGACGCUGAGGCACGAAAGUGCGGGGAUCAAACAGGAUUAGAUACCCUGGUAGUCCGCACAGUAAACGAUGAAUGCUAGCUGUCCGGGGGGAUUGACCCCUGGGUGGCACAGCGAAAGCGUUAAGCAUUCCACCUGGGGAGUACGCCGGCAACGGUGAAAC